UGUGUGACACAACAGUGCUGAGUGUGACACAACAGUGCAUGCUGUGACACAACAGUGCUGUGUGUGACACAACAGUGCUGAGUGUGACACAACAGUGCAAUGUGUGACACAACAGUGCUGAGUGUGACACAACAGUGCUGAGUGUGACACAACAGUGCAAUGUGUGACACAACAGUGCAAUGUGUGACACAACAGUGCUGAGUGUGACACAACAGUGCAAUGUGUGACACAACAGUGCUGAGUGUGACACAACAGUGCUGAGUGUGACACAACAGUGCAAUGUGUGACACAACAGUGCUGAGUGUGACA
RNAcentral lists this long non-coding RNA (309 nucleotides) under Gallus gallus (chicken). Lineage: Eukaryota; Metazoa; Chordata; Aves; Galliformes; Phasianidae. The record is from RNAcentral.